Molecule: long non-coding RNA, 1657 nt
Organism: Drosophila obscura
Lineage: Eukaryota; Metazoa; Arthropoda; Insecta; Diptera; Drosophilidae
Exons: 3
Source: RefSeq, a predicted model, not a curated record
AAUCAUUACAGAUCAGACACAUGCUGACCGCUAUUUAUUCUCCCCAAGCAAACGCAUCUGAACGCGUGAACAGGUCUAUCAUUUCGGCGAUUCGAGCAUAUUUGAAAGAAGAUCAGAGAGAUUGGGACAAGAAUGUGGCUGCAAUUAGUUGUGCGUUAAGGAACUCUCUACAUCAGAGCAUUAAAGUUUCACCUUACCGAGCGAUCUACGGCAUGGAAAUGAUAACACAUGGAUCCGAAUAUGAACUAUUACGAAAAUUAAAUCUUCUAGAAGAGUCCGUACAUCCUCUUAAGAGAGAAGAUAAAUUGGCUUUAUUAAGAACCGGGAUUAAGAGAAAUAUUACAAACGCUUAUGAAAAACAGGCAAAGCAGUAUAACCUACGUGCUAAGGAAGUUCGUUAUCAUGUAGGACAAGAAGUUUUUAGAAGAAACUUUGUACAAAGUAAUUUUGAGAAAAAUAUCGCAAGCAAAUUGUGUCCAUCAUUUGUUAAAGCUCGAGUGCGAGAAAAGGUUGGAAAUUCUACUUAUGUCUUAGAAGACUUAAAAGGCAAUUUAAUAGGAAAGGUGCAUGCGAAAGACAUAAGGCAAUAACAGAUUUCAGGUUAAUCUGCCCUAUGUAAAACAUGGCUGAUUACCCUGUGGUGUGCUGUGCAUGGUUCUCAAAAAAAAAAAAAAAAGAGAAAAAUUUGGUUUUUAAUUUUUCGUAGAAUUCGUAUAAAUUGUUAUCGAUUUGGCGGGAAAUUUAAGCUCAUUACGUUAGGAGAUACACUCGCGAGUUUCACAACACAGUCAGCUGGGAAGAAAGCUCGUAAACUCGAUCGUUUUGAGUGGAGCGAGAAUAGGUUCUUGUCGAGCUCAGCGAAUUUUCUCUUCCUAUUUGAUCGUACCAGCGUAACUGACCAGACCUAAUUUUUCGUAUCGAAAUUAAAUUACGCGCUUAACCCAGGCUAAUAGUAUAAGUCCUAAAUAUUCAAAGAGCAAUCUCGAAAUAUUUAAGGCAUCCGUGGGAAUUUUAAAUAAAUCUUCGAAAAGAAUUGUUUUGAAAGUGGUCUAUAGUUCGGCCAGAACAGAUUUUGGUUCAAAGCAGGCGCUUUUAAAACAUUGCUGUGCCCAACAAAAACAUAGCGAAGGAAAAUAAAGAAAAAGACCAGAUCAGGGUCAAGUCAGGGGCAGAAGAACCCGUGGAAAGGGCCGAGCUCCCCGACGCAACUUUCUUUGGCAGACCAGCAGCCGCAGCAACGUUACAUAUGCGCAGUCUGAGUUUGUUCGAUUGACAUUAGCGGGAGAGCAGGGUUAACGACCGGAGCAGAACGUUUGGAAAACGGAAUACCGGAGACAAGCAGAAGAAGGCGAAGCAGCAGCAAUUAGUGAAUUAGUGAAAAUUUAGGGUUGAGUAAAAGAAAUUCGCAAUUACAUCAAAAAGAAGACAUGUAAACGAAUAGGCACGUUCAAGAUCACCAACACAUGUACAACCGGACAAAAGAAUAAAGUGUAAAGUAACUAAGACAUGCAAAGUGAGUGAAAAGGCAGAGUGAAAAUAACCCAGUGAAGCGAGACUUGUAAUGCUCUAUCACCCCAAACUAAUUACCUAAAAUCAAUAAAAAAAAAAAAAAUCAAACCGAUCUUCUAGAAGGCCUUCUACGAUAAAUCUGGGUGAG